Molecule: ribosomal RNA, 1346 nt
Filed under: uncultured bacterium
Lineage: Bacteria
Description: bacterial SSU rRNA
Rfam family: Bacterial small subunit ribosomal RNA
Source: RNAcentral
GACGAACGCUUUCGGCGUGCUUAACACAUGCAAGUCGAACGGAAAGGCCCUGCUUUUGUGGGGUGCUCGAGUGGCGAACGGGUGAGUAACACGUGAGUAACCUGCCCUUGACUUUGGGAUAACUUCAGGAAACUGGGGCUAAUACCGGAUAGGAGCUCCUGCUGCAUGGUGGGGGUUGGAAAGUUUCGGCGGUUGGGGAUGGACUCGCGGCUUAUCAGCUUGUUGGUGGGGUAGUGGCUUACCAAGGCUUUGACGGGUAGCCGGCCUGAGAGGGUGACCGGCCACAUUGGGACUGAGAUACGGCCCAGACUCCUACGGGAGGCAGCAGUGGGGAAUAUUGCACAAUGGGCGGAAGCCUGAUGCAGCAACGCCGCGUGCGGGAUGACGGCCUUCGGGUUGUAAACCGCUUUCGCCUGUGACGAAGCGUGAGUGACGGUAAUGGGUAAAGAAGCACCGGCUAACUACGUGCCAGCAGCCGCGGUGAUACGUAGGGUGCGAGCGUUGUCCGGAUUUAUUGGGCGUAAAGGGCUCGUAGGUGGUUGAUCGCGUCGGAAGUGUAAUCUUGGGGCUUAACCCUGAGCGUGCUUUCGAUACGGGUUGACUUGAGGAAGGUAGGGGAGAAUGGAAUUCCUGGUGGAGCGGUGGAAUGCGCAGAUAUCAGGAGGAACACCAGUGGCGAAGGCGGUUCUCUGGGCCUUUCCUGACGCUGAGGAGCGAAAGCGUGGGGAGCGAACAGGCUUAGACACCCUGGUAGUCCACGCUGUAAACGGUGGGUACUAGGUGUGGGGUCCAUUCCACGGGUUCCGUGCCGUAGCUAACGCUUUAAGUACCCCGCCUGGGGAGUACGGCCGCAAGGCUAAAACUCAAAGGAAUUGACGGGGCCCCGCACAAGCGGCGGAGCAUGCGGAUUAAUUCGAUGCAACGCGUAGAACCUUACCUGGGUUUGACAUGGAUCGGGAGCGCUCAGAGAUGGGUGUGCCUCUUUUGGGGUCGGUUCACAGGUGGUGCAUGGCUGUCGUCAGCUCGUGUCGUGAGAUGUUGGGUUAAGUCCCGCAACGAGCGCAACCCUUGUUCACUGUUGCCAGCACGUUAUGGUGGGGACUCAGUGGAGACCGCCGGGGUCAACUCGGAGGAAGGUGGGGAUGACGUCAAGUCAUCAUGCCCCUUAUGUCCAGGGCUUCACGCAUGCUACAAUGGCUGGUACAGAGAGUGGCGAGCCUGUGAGGGUGAGCGAAUCUCGGAAAGCCGGUCUCAGUUCGGAUUGGGGUCUGCAACUCGACCUCAUGAAGUCGGAGUCGCUAGUAAUCGCAGAUCAGCAACGCUGCGGUGAAUACGUUCCCGGGGCU